RNAcentral lists this ribosomal RNA (443 nucleotides) under uncultured bacterium. RNAcentral describes it as "partial 16S ribosomal RNA". It matches the Rfam family "Bacterial small subunit ribosomal RNA", at positions 338 to 795 of the family's 1533-position model. The record is from RNAcentral.
CCUACGGGAGGCAGCAGUGGGGAAUAUUGGGCAAUGGGCGCAAGCCUGACCCAGCAACGCCGCGUGAAGGAAGAAGGCUUUCGGGUUGUAAACUUCUUUUCUCAGGGACGAAGCAAGUGACGGUACCUGAGGAAUAAGCCACGGCUAACUACGUGCCAGCAGCCGCGGCAAUACGUCGGUGGCAAGCGUUAUCCGGAUUUACUGGGUGUAAAGGGCGUGUAGGCGGGAACGCAAGUCAGAUGUGAAAACCAUGGGCUCAACCUGUGGCCUGCAUUUGAAACUGUUUUUCUUGAGUACUGGAGAGGCAGACGGAAUUCCUGGUGUAGCGGUGAAAUGCGUAGAUAUUAGGAGGAACGCCAGUGGCGAAGGCAGUCUGCUGGACAGCAACUGACGCUGAGGCGCGAAAGCGUGGGGAGCAAACAGGAUUAGAUACCCUGGUAGUC